RNAcentral lists this long non-coding RNA (1364 nucleotides) under Lepisosteus oculatus (spotted gar). Its description in RNAcentral is "lncRNA (ENSLOCG00000022578.1)". The record is from RNAcentral. Lineage: Eukaryota; Metazoa; Chordata; Actinopteri; Semionotiformes; Lepisosteidae.
AUUGAUAUGCAGCACACCGCCCACCAGAAUGGCAGGGGGCGGGCAAGGAGGUGUUACCAACCCAAAAGCAAGGGUGACACAGUCCAGGGAGAGGGCCGGGCGGAUGGGUCUGCAGGAGGAGCUAGGCUGAGCAGGGAGCAGCUCUUAGGGGGAUCCACUCCAGAGACCAGGCUAAGCACAGUCUGUCAGGUUAGGUAGACUACAGAAGGUGCCCUGGACUGGGCCCAACAGUGCACCCACUGAAGACUGGAACCAGAGCCGAGUUCCUGAAGAAAAAGGAGAAGACGGGGAGAACCACCAAGGUGUGGAGCCGUACUGUAUUCCAGAGUGCAGAGUAGAGCUGAAGGGGCCGUUGGGGCAGAGAACCAAGAGUGCGCAAGGAACAGGCCAAAGCAGAUUUACCGAUGGUGCACCUGGACCAGGACUGCAAUGAAUCUGCGGUCUGUCGUCAGAGGGCGCACUUUCCCGAGUCUUGCAUCCUGCAGACCUUAAAAUCCUCAACUCACGGGAGUGUGCGAAUUCAGAUCUGCCUUUGGCAUCUGGUGUGGUCUCCAGGUCGCAAUCCUAUGGAUCUUCAAUGCGUGCAGUUGGGUACUUGAUGCCCUCCCAGUGCACCUCCAAGCCACCAGUGUUUCUCGGGUUAAGGGAGUAACGACAUUUGUUAAGUCAUUGUUAAUCAGUUUUUUAAUUUUGCUGACGGGUAUGCCUUAUUGGAUGUAAUACCUUGUCUGGUUUCAUUUGACAAACCUAAAUAAAACAGUCUACAAAGUACCUCUCGUCUGAGAAGAAUUCAUUGUGAAACCUUAAGAUAUUCACUACGUAAUUGUGCUCAAUGAACUAUUGACAUAUCUGUAGCCUGCAUUUGUUUAAUGUAAAAAUCUAAGAAUGCAACCUAAGGAUUUGUAAUUGUGCAUAAUGAUUUUAGAAGCAGAAAUUCAGUUUGAUGGUUUCUGUACACAUUGUGUAAACCUGCUGUGAUACAAGUAUUAUUAGAAUCAAUCUGAACAUAUGCAAAUAUUUAGAGAUUAUACUAGCAGUUAAUGUAGUAGAGUUAGCAGGUCAUUUUUUCUUGUGUCUGAAUGUUCUUACAAUCCUUUCCUUCUGUGCACAUUAUUAUACUGCAUUAAUAUGUGCAUUCCUGAUAUAAACAAUUGACAAACGUAUCAGAAAAUGUCAGAAAAUUCUACAUGGGUGCAGAGAGACCUGGUGGUGAAUUGAAAUGAAAAACAGACCAAAAUGAAAAUAUUUUUUCUAUUGAAGUAAGCUUUCCAUUGACAUGAUAUACAAAUACUUCAUAAUUUUACACAUUAAUUCUAAGUUUCGUAGUUUGAAAAUAUUAAAAGGCAGAUGCUGUGUCUGUAACU